AGAGCUCAGAUUGUGGAAUCAGAAUAUCAGAUUCAGAUCUCACCUCUGCCACUUACAGAAUAUUUGCCCUUGGGCAAGUUGCUUGGUCUCUUUCGGUGUCAGUUUCUUCUUCUCAGUAAAAGGAGGCUAAUAAUAGAGUCUGCCUUCUAAGGUUGUUGUAAGGAAUAAAGGAUAUUAAAUGCUUAGAAGGUAUGUGACACUCCCUUAGCUGUCAUCAUUAUCAUUAUUCAUUUCCCAUUCACAAUGUGCUGUUUCCUGGUUAAAUCCGUAACAUGAGGUUUUAGUAGUGGUCUUGAUUUUCCUUUUGAAGUAUUUACCCCUAAAGAUUUAUUCAAAAUUGACUGCAGUUCUUUUUAUGUACAGGUACAUUUUAAAUGUACAUGAUAUUUAACUAGACUUGAGGUUCUCUUUUUACAGUAUUUCUUAAAUACUCUCCCUCAAAUAUAUAUUUUCAUAUGGUAAUACAGAGCCAUUUUGGUGUGGGAGUGGGAGGAGCUGUGAAUUAUGACAGUUCUAAUUAAUAUAAUUUUGUCUUUAGUAAAAACAGGCCCUGGACAGCACUUAAACCACAGUGAAUUGGCAAUUCUACUAAACCUACUACAAUCUAAAACAAGUGUUAAUAUGGCUGAUUUUGUCCAAGUGUUGAACAUUAAGGUAAACUCUGAGACUCAACAGCAGCUAAAUAAAAUAAACCUUCCUGCUGGAAUUUUGGCAACAGGUGAAAAACAGACAGAUCCAUCAACACCACAACAGGAGUCUUCGAAACCGUUGGGAGGAAUUCAGCCUUCUUCUCAGACCAUCCAGCCUAAAGUGGAGACUGAUGCUGCCCAGGCGGCUGUGCAGAGUGCAUUUGCAGUUCUGUUGACUCAGUUAAUAAAGGCUCAGCAGUCAAAGCAGAAAGAUGUGCUACUAGAAGAGAGGGAAAAUGGAUCGGGACAUGAAGUGUCAUUACAACUCAGGCCACCUCCAGAACCUAGCACUCCGGUGUCGGGACAAGAUGACCUCAUCCAGCAUCAAGAUAUGAGGAUCUUGGAGCUAACGCCAGAACCAGACCGGCCUCGAAUUCUGCCUCCUGACCAACGACCUCCCGAGCCUCCUGAACCACCACCAGUCACUGAGGAAGAUCUAGAUUACCGGACAGAAAACCAGCAUGUACCCACCACCAGUUCUUCAUUAACUGACCCUCAUGCCGGAGUGAAGGCAGCCCUGUUACAGCUGCUUGCUCAGCAUCAGCCCCAGGAUGACCCCAAAAGAGAAGGUGGGAUUGAUUAUCAAGCAGGAGACACUUAUGUGUCCACUUCAGACUACAAGGACAACUUUGGAUCCUCUUCUUUCUCUUCUGCUCCUUACGUUAGCAAUGAUGGUCUAGGAAGCAGUUCUGCUCCACCACUAGAACGACGUAGUUUCAUUGGAAAUUCAGAUAUUCAGUCUUUGGAUAACUACAGUACUGCUUCAUCUCAUUCUGGUGGUCCACCUCAGCCUUCUGCCUUUUCUGAGUCAUUUCCCAGUUCAGUAGCUGGAUAUGGAGACAUUUACCUCAAUGCUGGUCCCAUGUUGUUUAGUGGAGACAAGGACCAUAGAUUUGAAUAUAGCCAUGGUCCUAUUGCAGUCCUGGCAAACAGCAGUGACCCUUCCACGGGGCCAGAGAGUACUCAUCCUUUGCCAGCAAAGAUGCACAACUAUAACUAUGGUGGUAACUUACAGGAAAAUCCGAGUGGCCCCAGCCUCAUGCAUGGACAGACCUGGACUUCUCCUGCCCAAGGACCUGGAUAUUCACAAGGAUACAGGGGACAUAUUAGCACAUCAACUGGCAGAGGCAGAGGCAGAGGGUUACCAUACUGAGUAUCUGUUUUUCCUCAGGCACAUCAUUUUUAUCUGGAAAGACUUUUCUAGCUGCAAUUUAAGGCAGCAAUCCAAGAGACUUGAAUAAUAAUAAUUCAACAACAGCUUUAUUUUUAUGUGGAGAAGGGUCUUGCAUACAAUAGUUUAAAAAAGACAAAAAAAACCUUUGCUUAAAUUCAUGCUGUUCUAAAAACUAGAUCUAUCGAUUGUACAUCUUCACAAAUUCUAGUUAACAAUUUUAUUUUGUAUUCUUGCAGUUUUAAGUGGAUGCUAAUUUUAGGGACAUAAGCCUUUUAUGGCCCUCUUGCAGAUCUUCUGAACUAUGCACAUUUGUGCUUUUUUUGUAAGUUUGGACCAACUUUUAUGUAACAAACAGCCCCUCCCCACCUCCAGUUUUACAACAAUCAGAAAGAGCACUGAUUUAUUUGGUAUUUUUCUUUUUACAAAGCUACCUUUAGUCAAAGGUCACUGUCAGUCUUUGCACCUGCUUUCAGUGUUAUUGUGAAAGGUGUACUUUGUGCUCAUUUCAGAAAAUAAAACACAACCUUUCUCUUGA
RNAcentral lists this small RNA (2398 nucleotides) under Pan troglodytes (chimpanzee). RNAcentral's name for it is "retained intron". The record is from RNAcentral. Lineage: Eukaryota; Metazoa; Chordata; Mammalia; Primates; Hominidae.